UGGGAGCAGAUUGCGCCACGGUACAAGGAGGAGGGACCUGCCCCGAAAAUAUACCAUUCCAGGCGCAAAGGCACAAAUUCGGGGCUCUAGGCGGGUUAACGCGCGGACCCUCCCCCCUGUGCGGCAUCGUUUUAGACCUGCUGCUAACCCCCUCUUUUUGAAUCAUUUUUUAACCUAAAACAUAAUUCCUUCCCGUUUUGAAAUGAAUCAUGCUAUCAGCCCAUUAAUUUAGGGUUUCCUUUAGCAUACCGCCUCCAACAAUAGAACUUCCAGAAUCCAGAAACCAGUUUGCGGCCUCAAGAUCAUUCCUCAUACUUCGAUCUCAGCGAAGCAAAGAAGAAUCCGUGGCGAAUUUGAAAAAGUACUUGAGCCUCCGAAAAAGAUGCAUUUAGAUCCUCAAAGAAAAGAGAAUUUUGACGAUGGAAGUUUGGGAUUGGAGAUGGUUAGUAUCUAUGUAAUAAUUUAUUAUUUUAGUUCUCAAAGAUUAUUAAUAUACUAAUCAUAUCACAAUUUGACAAUGUGUAGAAUUGAAAUAAUAUAUUUAAAUUUCCAAAAUGAAAGCGGAGAAACAAUAAAUUAUCCUUAUCUCUAACAA
This is a long non-coding RNA of Gossypium arboreum, 595 nucleotides long. RefSeq lists it as uncharacterized. The record is from RefSeq and is a predicted model, not a curated record. The transcript has 2 exons. NCBI's taxonomy places the organism in Eukaryota, Viridiplantae, Streptophyta, Magnoliopsida, Malvales, Malvaceae.